Molecule: long non-coding RNA, 1012 nt
Filed under: Oryctolagus cuniculus (rabbit)
Lineage: Eukaryota; Metazoa; Chordata; Mammalia; Lagomorpha; Leporidae
Description: lncRNA (ENSOCUG00000030449.1)
Source: RNAcentral
UAUCGAUCUGUUUUACACUAGAAUUUUAAGGUGAAUGACUUGGAAUGGAAACCUUAAUUUAAGAAAAGAAAUAGAGGUCUAUGAACCACACUAUCCGUGGGGAAAGUAACAACAAACUGGAAGGGCCUCCGAGUACCAAGGUCCUGUCUGAUGCAAAGAGCUGCGGGUGUAUCUUCCCAUACUUCACAACCUUCUCCAAGGGAGGCAGGCCUGCAAAUUAAUUUUGCCUCCUCACUUCCGAAUCUUUCAACCUGGAAACAGCUUUGUUGGUCUUUCUCCCUUCGCACUGCCAACUCCUUUCCCAUAUCUCUGGAUCCAAAUGCAACAAAGAGUUUAUGUUCUUUAAAUACAUGGGACUCAGAAAUGCCUUUGCCUCUUUCAGAUUAUGACUACUGGUCUAGUGAACUUACUGUACCGAAAAAUCUGCGAGCCUCACAGAAUACUACACAAUUUUACAUAUGUUUCUGCCAUGAUAGAAAUUGCCAUUUGCCCAAGUACUUUUUAUAUAAAUGCCCUCAAAUUUCUAAGACGGUACAGUAUGUUCCACCCACUUUUGUGACAGAUGGAAGAGACAUUUGGAAUUGUAAAAUGUCUGUACAAAGAGCAGAGCCUUCUAAUGCUGUAGUUUCACCUCAAGAUAAUACAGUUUUCUCUACUCCAGCAAGAUGCCGAAGAAUAAAUCAGUUUUCAUGGAGCUCCCAAAUGUUUAUAGCACUCAUCCUUUUUUACUUAGAAUCACCCAUGCUUUUUCGAAGCCUUUUGGUCACAAGGCAUUUUCAGUGGUCUAUUAAUACUAUCUUUUUAGAUUUUCCUCAGAGAUUUCAUUUCACCUCAAAUCAAUCUUCAAUCUUAUUAUAUGUUAACAUAGCCAACAUUUCUUACUGUUUGAUUUGAGUGUUAAAUCAAACAAAAUAUUUCAAAACCAAAUUUGCCAUUUUCCUGACUAUUCAUACCCAAAUAGACCCUUACUGUCAUUGAUGUCAUGCAUGUUAUAUAUUAUAUUAUAAAUAUA